Long non-coding RNA from Homo sapiens (human), 4786 nucleotides. RefSeq lists it as uncharacterized. The transcript has 2 exons. The record is from RefSeq and is a predicted model, not a curated record. Lineage: Eukaryota; Metazoa; Chordata; Mammalia; Primates; Hominidae.
CUGUCCUGGUUCUGGCGGCUGAGGGCCGGGUGGCGCAGGCGGCCUCCGGCUGUGCCCAUGGGAACUAAAACCUUCGGUUCUAGAAGAGCCGGGGGAGAGGCUCCGGGAAGACCGAAUUCUUCAGAAAUCGCAGAGAGACCUUGGACCGGAUCCUUCCCUGCAGGGCUGCGUCGGGGAAGCGCCGGCACAAGUAUAUUCAGCGACUUCCUUGGAAGCGCCUACGUUAGAAUACUACAAACUUACAAGCUAGUUGAUCAGUUUACCUCCCACUAGAAAAGACAGUAUGGGAAGGCAGAGGCCGCGUGGCCUGGACCCCCGUCUUUGCUGUCAGGCUUCCAGAGUGAAGGUGGGGCUCAUAUUCAGACUAGUUCCUGGUCCAUUCAUUCUUUCAGUCAGUCAGUCAGUCAUUCCUACAGGGCCAGAAACUUUUUUUUUUUUUGAGACAGAGUUUCGCUCUUGUUGCCCAGACUGCUCACCGCAACCUCCGUCUCCUGGGUUCAAGAGAUUCUCCUGCCUCAGCCUCCCGAGUAGCUGGGAUUACAGGCAUGUGCCAGCACACCUGGCUAAUUUUUGUAUUCUUAGUAGAGACGGAGUUUCUCCAUGUUGGCCAGGCUGGUCUCGAAUUCCCGACCUCAAGUGAUCUGCCCGCCUCGGCCUCCCGAAGUGCUGCAAUUACAGGCGUGAGCCACCGCGCCCGGCCCAGAAACAUGUUUUGAAGGGCAGGCACCGCACAGGGUGCUGGAGACAGACUGAAGGAAACUGCACCUCUCAGUGACUCAAGAGAGAUUUGUUGAGUAUCUACCAAGUGCCUAGCGCUGUUCUUGUCCCUGGGGAUUCAGCCUCUGGAUUGGGACCUGCAGCCCAGAGAAGGGAAAUGGGGGAAAUCCAAGUUCCCAGGUACAUCAUGAUACCCUUCCAGGUGGCCUCUCCUUCCUGGAAAUUGCCAUCACCAGCGGCCAUAGCACCCCCAUGGGACCUGGGGGAUGGAGUUGGAAGCCCCCUCCGGCAACACUGGCCAGAUUGGAGAGACCAGCAGGGAAGCUCCCUCCUACCCCCAGGGAGGCUGAAGCCAGCUCUCCAUGGGCACGAAACCUGGAACCCAGGACCCUGGGGGGCAGGUGAGAUGACAGGGACUUGGGGUCUGGGAGCAGAGUCACAGGGAAGAGUGGCAUCUAGGGGAGGCGCAUCUUGGGGGUGCAUCUAGGGGAGGUGCUAAGAAGUGACAGGGGUCUCUGGAGGUGCCCCAGUCCCUCUGCUGGGAUGCAGGGUGGCAGGGAGCUGAGAAGGUGCUCAGCCACCCUCUGGAAGCUUCUGACGUCCCAGCCUAAGCUCAGCCUGCAGGGCCCUGUGGCCUGAGCCAACCCCAGACCUGGGUUGGAUUUUUUCCUUGUUUCUUGCUUCCUUCCUCCCCUGGACUCCUGCCAACUCCAGCCCUGCCCUCCUCGCUCUUCACCCCACUUCAGAGAACUGUGACCCACUGGAGGCUGGGAUUUGAGAUGAGAGGUCACCCUCGGAGUUGGCUCCAGCUGCUGCCUCUGCCUGGGACCCCUCCUUGGGAGUUGGGUGGCAGGGCCUUGCUGGGGGCACUUCCCUUCGCAUCUGGAUUUUGGCCUCGGGCCCAGGGCUAUGGGGGUUUCCAGAGUGGUGACAGCCUUGUCCUAGCAGGGACCAGCCCAAGCACUUCCUCCCAGAGCCCUCUGGGAGCGUCCCAGCCCCAAGGCUGUCAUUUUGUCGUAGGGAGUAAAUUGUGGAGUCAGCAGAGGCUGUCUUCCACACUUUCUGUGCCUUCCAGGUAUCCUGUCAUUCCUCAUUCUGAAAACCUAGGCUUGCAUCUCUCUUGUGCCUAGGGCUAUGCUGGACUAGAGAAGACACAGGUGGCCAAAGCUGGACCCAGCCCUCAGGGAACAGAUAACCUGCGUGAGAAACAAAUAAUUGAUUCUGCCCUUUAUCCCUCCCGGGCCAGCACGGAGGGGUUCAGCCAAUGACUGGGAAUUGAAUGAAAAACCAAAGAGAACAGCCAUGAGAUCUGUCUGCUAUGGGUGGGAAAGCAGAUGGGAGAGUGAGAAGGGCUUCAAGGAGAAGGUGAUAUGUGAACAGGGCAUAAAUGGAUGAAUAGGAGUUUGCCAGGCACAGAAAGGGAAGGACAUUCCAGGGGAAGCAGGCAGAGGCCUGGCAAGGCAAAGGCCAGGAGGAUUGCAAGUAAAGUCAUGGUAUGAGCAGAAAACAAGAGAGGUCCAGUUGCCCAUGGCAUAGGAGAGGGGACAGGCCAAGAGGGUAGUGGGUAAGCACUGUUUUCCCUGCCCAGCAUCCAUCUCUCACUCUGGUGACUGUCCCUCAGUUUUCUAGUCUCCAGUGUGACUGGCCCCCAACCCUCAAGCUCUAAAAGUGGGUUUGAGUCCUGUGCCUAGCCAGUCUGAGUCAUGGGAAUGGCUCCAGCAUAUGACAUCAGAGAGCAUCAGCCCAGGAACUUGAUGGGACUGUUAGGGUCACAAAUGUCAAGAUGCCAGCCCAGAGCUGCUGGUGGCCAGCUCUGCCACCCUAAGGGGGGAGCCUGCCUAAGAAUAAGGCCAACAUAGAAGAAAACAGCACCAAGAGAAUGAAUCUCAAUGACAUUGCCUGUGCUCCUGGAUCCAGUCAUGCCUGAAGCAGUUUCUAUUCUACGAGCCAACAAAUUCCAGUUUUGGCUUAAUACAGUUAGGGUUGGGUCUGUCACUUGCCACUGAGAAUGAAGGGCCCAUUGCAGAAUAGCUAAAGGCAGGUGAUCACUCAUGAGAGUUGCCGAGUGCUGUGGGAAAGGCAACGAUGAUCUGUGUGUAGAGGUACAACACCAUCAGAACUGCAUUUUCUUUCAUUUAAAUUACUUUUUGAGGCCGGGUGCGGUGGCUCACGCCUGUAAUCCCAGCACUUUGGGAGGCCAAGGCGGGUGGAUCAGCUGAGGUUAGGAGUUCGAGACCAGCCUGGGGAACAUGGUGAAAACCCGUCUCUACUAAAAAUACAAAAAUUAGCGAGGCGUGGUGGCACGUGCCUGUAGUCGCAGCUACUCAGGAGGCUGAGGCAGGAGAAUCACUUGAGCCUGGGAGGCGGAGGUUGCAGUGAGCCAAGAUUGUGCCACUGCACUCCAGCCUAGGCGACAGAGUGAGACUCUGUCUCAAAAUAAUAAAAUAAUAAUAAUAAUAAUAAUAAUUACUUUUUGAUUAGGUAAUGCUCUUUCUUUUCUUUUUCUUUCUUUGAGAUAGGGUCUUGCUGUAUCGCUGGAAUGCAGCGGCGUGAUCACUGCUCACUGCAGCCUCAACUUCCUGGGCCCAAGCAAUCCUCCUGAGUAGCUGUGACCACAGGCACAUGCCAUUUGCUAAUCUUUGUAUUUUUUGUAGAGACGGGUUUUCGCCAUGUUGUCCAGGCUGGUCUUGAACUCCUGGGCUCAAGCAAUUCAUCUGCCUCGGCCUCCCAAAGUGCUGGGGUUAUAAGGGUGAGCCAAAGCGCCUGGCUGAGGUAAUGCUUUCAUGUGAUUCAGAAUUCAGAAGUUGGCUGGAUAUGGUGGCUCACACCUGUAAUCCCAACAGUUUGGGAGGCCAAGGUAGGGGGUGGGGUGCGGAUCACCUGAGGUCGGGAGUUCGAGACCAGCCUGGCCCACAUGGCAAAACCUCGUCUCUCCUAAAAAUACAGAAAUUAGCCAGGCAUGGUGGUGGGUGCCUGUAAUCCCAGCUACUCAGGAGGCUGAGGCAGGAGAGUCGCUUGAACCUGGGAGGCGAAGGUUGUGGUGAGCCAAGAUCACACCACUGUACUGGGUGCCUGAGCGACAGAGUGAAACUCCAUCUCAAAAAGAAAAAAAAAAGAAAGAAAGAAAAAGAAAUUCUGAAGUCCUAAGAGGCAAGAAGUCUCAUCCCUGUCCCCCAGGGACAGUUCUCCAUUCUGCUAUAGCCAACUGGUGUUAUCAGUUUCUUGUAAACACUUCUAGGGAUAUUCUUGCAUGAACGAGCAGGGCCCCUCUCAUUUUUUUUUUUUUUAACACAAAUGUCAAUAUUUAGACAAGUAGAGUUCCAAAGUACUGCAGGCCCUGGUGGUAGCUGGCGGAGGGCCGUCCUGCUCGGGACUGUGAGAAGCCCUUUCAUUGAGCCUCUGCUGUUCAUGCUGUUUGACACCUUGCGUUUUCCAGUUAACGUUAUAUUUUGGAGACCACUCUACAUCAAUACAUAGAGUGUGUCCUCAUUUUCACAGCUGCACGGUAUUCCAGCACAAGGAUGUAUGGUAAUUUACAGAUGCACUUCUUGGCAGAGGGACCUUCAGGUUGCUUCCAGCCCUUUCUCAAGACAGGCCGUGCCGCAGUGAGUCAUCUGUACAAAAGCCCUUUCACACAUGCACGAGCGCUGCUGCGGAAUACAUUCCCAGAAGGGACUUGGGAGGACUGGGGGGCAAAAGAUACAUGCAGUGGUGUCUUAUUAUUGUUAUUUUAGAGACAGGGUCCUGCUCUGUCACCCAGGCUGGAGUACAAUGUACAAUGGUGUCAUCAUAGCUGACUGCAGCCUCGACCUCCUGGGCUUAAGCCAUCCUCCCGCCUUGGCCUCCUGCGUGGCUGGGACUACAGGCACGCACCACCGUGCCCAGCUUGCAGUGGUCAUUUUGUCAGCUCUGUCAGCUUGUCCUUCUUGGAGACUGUGCCAGGUACCAGGCCCCCACACAGUCAACAGGGCUGUUUCUCCUCAGGCUCACCAGCCCCUGGUUUCCACCUAUUUUGAUUUUUGUCCAUCUGAAAGGCAAAAACUAAACAAAACAAAGGAAUUUGGGUGUA